UGUAAGCGUAUACCAAGUUGUUGCAGUUAAAACGCUCGUAGUCGGAAUUUGGCAGUUCCGGAUGUGUGCACGUCGUGUGCGCACUUCGCGGGGAUUGCUUUUGUGGUCUUGCGUAGGAUGAGGCACUUUUAUUAGUGAACGUCCUCACGCAACCACUUUUUACUGUGAGAAAAUCAGAGUGCUCAAAGCAGGCAUUUGCCGUGAAUGUAUUAGCAUGGAAUAAUAGAAUAGGACUUGGUUCUAUUUUGUUAGUUUGUUGGGACUGAGUAAUGAUUAAGAGGGACAGUUGGGGGCAUUUGUAUUCCGGCGCUAGAGGUGAAAUUCUUAGAUUGCCGAAAGACAAACUGCUGCGAAAGCGUCUGCCAAGGAUGUUUUCAUUGA
This 381-nucleotide ribosomal RNA is filed under the name uncultured eukaryote. Its description in RNAcentral is "partial 18S ribosomal RNA". It matches the Rfam family "Eukaryotic small subunit ribosomal RNA", at positions 592 to 976 of the family's 1831-position model. The record is from RNAcentral.